Molecule: ribosomal RNA, 707 nt
Rfam family: Bacterial small subunit ribosomal RNA
ACUCCUACGGGAGGCAGCAGUGGGGAAUAUUGCACAAUGGGCGCAAGCCUGAUGCAGCGACGCCGCGUGAGGGAUGACGGCCUUCGGGUUGUAAACCUCUUUCAGUAGGGAAGAAGCGAAAGUGACGGUACCUGCAGAAGAAGCACCGGCUAACUACGUGCCAGCAGCCGCGGUAAUACGUAGGGUGCGAGCGUUAUCCGGAAUUAUUGGGCGUAAAGAGCUCGUAGGCGGUUUGUCGCGUCUGUCGUGAAAGUCCGGGGCUUAACCCCGGAUCUGCGGUGGGUACGGGCAGACUAGAGUGCAGUAGGGGAGACUGGAAUUCCUGGUGUAGCGGUGGAAUGCGCAGAUAUCAGGAGGAACACCGAUGGCGAAGGCAGGUCUCUGGGCUGUAACUGACGCUGAGGAGCGAAAGCAUGGGGAGCGAACAGGAUUAGAUACCCUGGUAGUCCAUGCCGUAAACGUUGGGCACUAGGUGUGGGGACCAUUCCACGGUUUCCGCGCCGCAGCUAACGCAUUAAGUGCCCCGCCUGGGGAGUACGGCCGCAAGGCUAAAACUCAAAGGAAUUGACGGGGGCCCGCACAAGCGGCGGAGCAUGCGGGAUUAAUUCGAUGCAACGCGAAGAACCUUACCAAGGCUUGACAUGUUCUCGAUCGCCGUAGAGAUACGGUUUCCCCUUUGGGGCGGGGUUCACAGGUGGUGCAUGGUU